CAACUGCAGUACCACCAGCAACAAUAUCUGCAGGACCAUCAGAUAUAUUAUAAAAUAGUAUUUAAAAUCAGUUGUCAGCCACAUGUGGUCUAUAUGAUGCAACAUGUUUGCAAUUGUUGGCAUGUCAUUUAAAAAUUUGUAACUAAUUUUGCUUUUUAAUAUUACCAUUAAUAUGACUUUUAAAAUAAUAAAAUUUUUUAUUUGUUUCAAAAAAUACUGUUUUAUUACUUACAAUAUAGUAUGUUAUUACAAGAUACUUCUGGCUUUUUCUCUGUUUCAAACCAGUUUAGUUAUAUCUUUUGUUCACAAAUUUUAUUAGACGCUAUACACAUAGUUUCAUAGGUUUAAACUGAUAAAUAGCACUUUAUUGUUUUUGUUCAUUUUAGAUUAGUAUAGCAAAAAAUUAAUAAGAUAUUCGUUUAUAUAUCUUUAUUUAUAUUUAUGUGCUUAAGUUUAUAUAAUUUUAUAUUAAGUUGUUUCCAUGUGAAAAGUGGUGUUACUUGGCAACGUGUAGUGCAAGAUUGUGAUUCUUGCUAGCCAAGCGGUGUUACUAAUGAUGUUACUUGGCACUUAAAGCCAAGCGGUGUUACUAAAUUGUGGUGUUACUUGGCAGCGUUUAGUGCCAAGCGGUGUUACAAGUGUUGAGCUAGGUUGUGUUGCCUAGCUUUUUUAAUUAUUCUGGAAACACAUAAUCUGAAUAUUUUGUGUUAUGUACAAACAUUUUAUGCUAUGUGUAUUCAGUAGCACUGGCAGGGUCUU
Hydra vulgaris (swiftwater hydra) is the source of this 759-nucleotide non-coding RNA. The record is from RefSeq and is a predicted model, not a curated record. Lineage: Eukaryota; Metazoa; Cnidaria; Hydrozoa; Anthoathecata; Hydridae.